RNAcentral lists this ribosomal RNA (492 nucleotides) under uncultured bacterium. Its description in RNAcentral is "partial 16S ribosomal RNA". It matches the Rfam family "Bacterial small subunit ribosomal RNA", at positions 29 to 507 of the family's 1533-position model. The record is from RNAcentral.
AGUGAACGCUGGCGGUAGGCCUAACACAUGCAAGUCGAACGGCAGCACAGUAAGAGUUUGCUCUUACGGGUGGCGAGUGGCGGACGGGUGAGGAAUACAUCGGAAUCUACUUUUUCGUGGGGGAUAACGUAGGGAAACUUACGCUAAUACCGCAUACGACCUACGGGUGAAAGCAGGGGAUCUUCGGACCUUGCGCGAUUGAAUGAGCCGAUGUCGGAUUAGCUAGUUGGCGGGGUAAAGGCCCACCAAGGCGACGAUCCGUAGCUGGUCUGAGAGGAUGAUCGGCCACACUGGAACUGAGACACGGUCCAGACUCCUACGGGAGGCAGCAGUGGGGAAUAUUGGACAAUGGGCGCAAGCCUGAUCCAGCCAUACCGCGUGGGUGAAGAAGGCCUUCGGGUUGUAAAGCCCUUUUGUUGGGAAAGAAAAGCAGCAGGUUAAUACCCCGCUGUUCUGACGGUACCCAAAGAAUAAGCACCGGCUAACUUCGUG